Molecule: long non-coding RNA, 856 nt
Organism: Gasterosteus aculeatus aculeatus (three-spined stickleback)
Lineage: Eukaryota; Metazoa; Chordata; Actinopteri; Perciformes; Gasterosteidae
Source: Ensembl
GUACCAUUACCGCUGAAUCAAUUGACGAGCCGCUUUGGCUGCAGCGAACUUGUCUUCAUGAGGGCUCAAAACCUCCAUCGAUGACGACUGCUGUUUUGCCAGGGAGCCAUGAACCUGAACUCGAAGGUUGUCGUGGGCGAGUGGUCAGGGCGAUAGACUAGAAUCCAUUGGGGGUCUCCCUGCGCAAUUCCAAAUUGGUCUGUUCUUUAGAUAGGUCUCUUUUUUCCCUUCGAAUGUUGGAACAUAAGCAAGCGAUGGUGGUAUAGUGGUGAGCAUAGCUGCCUUCCAAGCAGUUGACCCGGGUUCGAUUCCCGGCCAUCGCAGGUGUUUUCCUCUGUAUCACUUACACUAUCUAAAAGUGUUUAGGUUCAAACCGCCAGUCGGUCUUUCGUCGGUGACAGGUUUGCGAAUACCAAUGGGGGAAUGGCCUUUCACGUGUCCGAAGCGUGUUGAUCCUUAUUGCCAUUUUCCAGUGAUGACCCCCUUUUGUGCAUAGUUUCAUUCCAAGUAGGUAUUUCAUUCGCUUAUUUAGGCUGGAGGCUUAGUCCAAAAAAUGUACCAUUACCGCUGAAUCAAUUGACGAGCCGCUUUGGCUGCAGCGAACUUGUCUUCAUGAGGGCUCAAAACCUCCAUCGAUGACGACUGCUGUUUUGCCAGGGAGCCAUGAACCUGAACUCGAAGGUUGUCGUGGGCGAGUGGUCAGGGCGAUAGACUAGAAUCCAUUGGGGGUCUCCCUGCGCAAUUCCAAAUUGGUCUGUUCUUUAGAUAGGUCUCUUUUUUCCCUUCCAAUGUUUGAACAUAAGCAAGCGAUGGUGGUAUAGUGGUGAGCAUAGCUGCCUUCCAAGCAGUUGACCCG